Long non-coding RNA from Camelus dromedarius (Arabian camel), 2513 nucleotides. RefSeq lists it as uncharacterized. The record is from RefSeq and is a predicted model, not a curated record. The transcript has 3 exons. NCBI's taxonomy places the organism in Eukaryota, Metazoa, Chordata, Mammalia, Artiodactyla, Camelidae.
GCUCUCUGGGUGGGAGUGAGGGACCCCAGCUGUGGCACCUGCUGGUUUCCAUGGUGUAAAUACUGCCACCAGGGUCAAUUACAAGCUAUGCACGUGACAUCACUGAGUGGGGAGUUGGGAGGAACCCUGAAUAACCGGCUUGCCUGAGGAGGUGCCACGGCUGUGGCACCACCCUGAGCCUGGGGCUCCUGUUCAGUGAUAAUAGCUAUUGGCAAAUUCAACCUUUGUUGAAAACAGACAUCAUCGAGUUCUAGAAUUCACUGCCUCUUGCUCGAUGGCCUGCCUUUUAGUCCUCCCGCUUUUUGAAGCAGCUCUGUAAAUGUCACUGCUGGGGACCCCAGACACUUUGACUUAAUGAAGAUUGAUGUCUUCAUUAGAUUUGGAAAAGGAAUGCUGGGACAUUUUAUUACCUGGUGGCUGGUGCCUAGUACUCUCUGUUCCGUGGCCCAUCUCCCCCACCUCCUGUGACACAUUCCUGAAAGGGCUCCAGGAAAAAAAUAUUACAGCCUUGGCAGAUCAGUGUUUUCUGAUUGUGCAAUGUUCUUCCUGAGAAACCCCAUUCUCCAAAGGCAGUCAUUCUGAACCAGGACCAAGAAGUCGGGGUACAGGCUGGCCACCGGGAGGACAGCACAGGGGGCCAGAUGGUGGAGAACCAGGACAGAACAAAUCUAUGGGAGGCGGCAUCCAGCUCUGGUCCUCUCUGUUGCCACAGCCCAAGCGCAUGAUGCGCCAUUAUGUACAGGUCUCUGCUGCCUGCGGCUCCCCUUUGCUUCUCACCCUAUGACUCAUGAGAUCACUGUGCCUCGUGUGCUAGGAGUUGGAUCUUAAAGCACCAAGGGGAGCUGCUGGUGUGCUGGUGAAGGAGACAUGCCAAAGUGACUGUAAGAGAAGACCAGCUACAUUAGUGAGCCAGAUGCUGUGCUGGGAACCUAAGGCAACCAGGACCACGAGAGAGCAUCUCUGUCCUCAAAUUUCACACCACAAUCUGGGGCUCUGUCAGCGGAAGAUACCCUGGUGACCUGAACAGCGAUGUGGGAGUUUCCUCCCCUCCAAAGACCUCGCUGGGAGAGACGAGUCCUUUUUCACUGUGUCUCUCUGGUAUUCCUUGCUUCUUGUCUCCCAUUCUCCUCCAUCACCUCCCUGAGUGCUUCCACUGCGACCUGAGGCUCGUCAAGGAGUUCUGCAGCCUGUGGGACUUUUAGGGAACAAACUCCCAGCGGUGGGCUUCGUGAUGCAGCCACCACCUUCCUCGCAAGGUGCACCUGUUCGCCAAGCUCGCUGUCCGAGCGUUCUGUUGUGUUCAACCCUGACUUUGGCCCUGGCCCCUAAUCCCCAGGGCCUCUUGGCUGGUUUCCCUCGAAGGAAAGGUUGUUCUUUCAGCUCUUGUGUUCAGAAAAGAAACCAGAGUGCUUUCUUCCUGCAGUUCUGUCUCAGAUCCUGAUUGAAACUGUUUUACAGUCCCCUGAAUCCUGACAAGGAAAAACAUCCAUUACCCACUACUCACAGAAAUCUCUCUGAAACAAGAGUCAACCUCCCUUUCUCUCUCUCUCUCUCCUCUCCCACCCCACUCUCCCCUCUUUCUGUCUCCUUCUCUUUCACUCUCCAUCUGUCUCUUCCCUCCUGACCUGCUCCCCCCACCAUGAGCAAAAACUCCCUUGGCCGUCCCACACUUCAACUUUCAAAACUUUUACAACGAUCAUUCCCAAGUUUCCUAAUCUCUCAGCCUUUUCUGUGCAAUCCCAGAUUUGUAUCUUUCCAAAAGUGUAACUAAUAUUUAUUGAGAAACUAAUAUAUGCCAGAUGCUUUCUAUAUAUAUGAACUCCUUGAAAAACUUAUGGGAAGUAAAUGUAAUUAAAUUCCUUUUUUUAAUGAGAAAAUUGAGAGUCAAAAGUAUAAAGUAAUUUGCCCAAUAUCAUCAGCUAGAGUGUAACAGAGAUUUCAGAUCAGGUCUGCCUCAAAAACCUAUGCAUUUCCUUUUGUAUCUUAAAACUUUUUGCUGAUUACAAAAUGUUUAUGUAGAAAAAUUCAAAUACAGAAAGAAAAAGAUGCACGCUCCUAUAUUCUUAUAUCCUAACUCACUGUUAAUGUUUUAUGAUUGUUGCCCUGCCUUUAUCUUAUACAGUUUAAAUACAUAUUUAUAAAAUUGGCACAUAUAUAUGCACGUGUAUGUUUUUUUCCAGCUUAACUGAGAUAUAAUUGACAUAUAACAUUGUGUAAAGUUAAGGGGUAGAAUGUGAUGAUUUGAUAUACAUACAUAUUGUGAAAUGAUUACCACAAUAAGGUUAGUUAACACAUCUAUCACCUCACAUAAUUGCCUUUUUUGUGGUGAAAAUGUUUGAUCUCUACUUUCCCUGCAACUUUCAAGUGUACAAUAUAGUGUUAACCAUAAUCAUGCUGUGCAUUAGAUCCGCAGAACUUAGUCGUCCUAAAACUGAAAGUUUGUACCCUUUGAUCAGUAUCUCCCCAUUUAUCCCAACCCCCAGGCCCUGGUAACCACCAUUCUAGUCUCUGUU